UGAAUACGAGAUGCUACGGCGUCGAAGCAGUCUAUGUCAUACUUCCAAGAAAAGCUCGCACUGUCAUAAACAAAUAAUGCCUGUACCAUAACCGACACAGGUGGGUAGGUAGAGUAUACUAAGGGGCGCGAGAUAACUCUCUCUAAGGAACUCGGCAAAAUGACUCCGUAACUUCGGGAGAAGGAGUGCCUUAUUUAUAAGGUUGCAAUAACAAGAUCCAAGCAACUGUUUAUCAAAAACACAGGUCUCCGCUAAGUCGUAAGACGAUGUAUGGGGGCUGACGCCUGCCCAGUGCCAGAAGGUUAAAGAAGUUGGUUAGCAUUCGCGAAGCUGAUAACUGAAGCCCUGGUGAACGGCGGCCGUAACUAUAACGGUCCUAAGGUAGCGAAAUUCCUUGUCGGGUAAGUUCCGACCCGCACGAAAGGCGUAAUGAUUUGGAUACUGUCUCGGAGAGGGGCUCGGUGAAAUAGACUUGUCUGUGAAGAUGCGGACUACCUGCACCAGGACAGAAAGACCCUAUGAAGCUUUACUGUAACUUGAGAUUGAAAUUGGACUUUACUUGCGCAGUAUAGGUGGGAGGCGUUGAUAAUAUUCUUGCGGGAUUAUUUGAGCCAUCAGUGAGAUACCACUCUUGUAAUGUUAGAUUUCUAACUUUGUAUCAUUAUCUGGUCAAAGGACAGUUUCAGGCGGGCAGUUUGACUGGGGCGGUCGCCUCCUAAACGGUAACGGAGGCGCACAAAGGUUUCCUCUGAACGGGUAGAAAUCGUAUCUAGAGUGUAAAGGCAUAAGGAAGCUUGACUGUGAGACCUACAAGUCGAGCAGGGACGAAAGUCGGUCUUAGUGAUCUGACGGUGCUGAGUGGAAAGGCCGUCACUCAACGGAUAAAAGUUACUCUAGGAUAACAGGCUGAUCUCCCCCAAGAGUUCACAUCGACGGGGAGGUUUGGCACCUCGAUGUCGGCUCAUCGCAUCCUGGGGCGGUAGUACGUCCCAAGGGUUGGGCUGUUCGCCCAUGAAAGCGGUACGCGAGCUGGGUUCAGAACGUCGUGAGACAGUUCGGUCCAUAUCCGGUGUAGGCGUUAGAAUAUUGAGAGGAGCCUUCUUUAGUACGAGAGGACCGAGAAGGACAUACCUCUGGUGUACCAGUUAUCGUGCCAACGGUAAACGCUGGGUAGCUAUGUAUGGAGUGGAUAACCGCUGAAAGCAUCUAAGUGGGAAGCCCACCUCAAGAUAAG
RNAcentral lists this ribosomal RNA (1234 nucleotides) under metagenome. RNAcentral describes it as "bacterial LSU rRNA". It matches the Rfam family "Bacterial large subunit ribosomal RNA", at positions 1564 to 2808 of the family's 2925-position model. The record is from RNAcentral.